AUACUUGCUGGCAGGGGAGAUAUCAUCAAGAAGGUGGUAUUCUCUUGGUGAGACUUAUCCCUUGCACUACAGAAUUGCUAACCUCUACAAUUUUAACAAACAUGGUAAACACAACUGCAUUUCUUCUGUUAGCAGGAGACUGUGUUUGCACUUUCACUCA
Small nuclear RNA from Cervus hanglu yarkandensis (Yarkand deer), 160 nucleotides. Its record names the gene U1. It matches the Rfam family "U1 spliceosomal RNA". From Rfam's summary of the family: U1 is a small nuclear RNA (snRNA) component of the spliceosome (involved in pre-mRNA splicing). Its 5' end forms complementary base pairs with the 5' splice junction, thus defining the 5' donor site of an intron. Lineage: Eukaryota; Metazoa; Chordata; Mammalia; Artiodactyla; Cervidae. The record is from Ensembl.